CAUGGAAGUAAAGAAGGGGAGCAUCAAAGAGUUGUGAUGUUAUCUGAUACAAUCUUCCUAAAUAAACACUCUGCAUUUCCUGCUUGCGGAAGCUGAGCUUUGUUCCGCGAGUCUCAUAUCUGCAAAGACACUAG
This 134-nucleotide small nucleolar RNA is filed under the name Arabidopsis thaliana (thale cress). Its description in RNAcentral is "ATSL251730". The stretch from base 16 to 133 matches the Rfam family "Small nucleolar RNA snoR104". The record is from RNAcentral. Lineage: Eukaryota; Viridiplantae; Streptophyta; Magnoliopsida; Brassicales; Brassicaceae.